Molecule: ribosomal RNA, 549 nt
Filed under: uncultured bacterium
Lineage: Bacteria
Description: bacterial SSU rRNA
Rfam family: Bacterial small subunit ribosomal RNA
Source: RNAcentral
UGGGGAAUAUUGGACAAUGGGGGGAACCCUGAUCCAGCCAUGCCGCGUGUGUGAAGAAGGCCUUAUGGUUGUAAAGCACUUUAAGCAGUGAAGAAUACAUCAUGGCUAAUAUCCGUGAUGAAUGACAUUAGCUGCAGAAUAAGCACCGGCUAACUCUGUGCCAGCAGCCGCGGUAAUACAGAGGGUGCGAGCGUUAAUCGGAAUUACUGGGCGUAAAGCGAGCGUAGGUGGUUUAUUAAGUCAGAUGUGAAAUCCCUGGGCUUAACCUAGGAACUGCAUCUGAUACUGACAAACUAGAGUAGGUGAGAGGAAAGUAGAAUUCCAGGUGUAGCGGCGAAAUGCGUAGAGAUCUGGAGGAAUACCGAUGGCGAAGGCAGCUUUCUGGCAUCAUACUGACACUGAGGUUCGAAAGCGUGGGUAGCAAACAGGAUUAGAUACCCUGGUAGUCCACGCCGUAAACGAUGUCUACCAGUCGUUGGGUCUUUUAAAGACUUAGUGACGCAGUUAACGCGAUAAGUAGACCGCCUGGGGAGUACGGCCGCAAGGUUA